This 2298-nucleotide ribosomal RNA is filed under the name Triticum aestivum (bread wheat). Its description in RNAcentral is "partial small subunit ribosomal RNA". The record is from RNAcentral. Lineage: Eukaryota; Viridiplantae; Streptophyta; Magnoliopsida; Poales; Poaceae.
AGCCACCCUCCGUCCUUUCUUAUCCCAAACACAACAACUCGUGCAGCUCUCCCCUGGUCGAAGCAGAGGCAUUUCGACGAACAUGUCGCUCGUCACAGCUUUUCUGGCGGGCUCGGCGGCGCCGGCGGUCGCGCCACGGUCCGCUCGCCCGUCGGCGGGCUUCUUUGGGGUCGGCGGAGGGUGCGCGCUGUCAGUGGAGUGCUCGUCGCGGCCGCAGAAGAAAGGGACCAAGCACCAUAUGAAGACGCGGCCCAAGAAAACGCAGCGGUGGGACAUCAAGCGCCGCCCCAUUCAGUACGAGCCGCUGCCGGCGCUUCCCGAUGACUGGACGCUCGUCGCCGCCGGUGAGAAGGAAGAUGAGGCGCUGCAGGAUGAGGAGACCACGCCCGCUGCCGCCGUUGAGUUCGAGGUGGUCGCCGCCCCUGCCGCCGCAGACUGACGCCGUGAAGUCCACCGUUGCCUCUCUGUAUUUUAUUUCCUUGAACUCUCCGCACGCAUGGUUUUUGCUUGAGAUUAUUAUAACCGCUGCUACACUUUGCAAUUACAAUCGUGAAGUCUACUUCAGUGGCCACUGCACCUUUAGAUUUAGUGGUUGCUUUGCUCGAUGAUUUAUGCUUUCACGUUGUGUGCAAUUCGAUUUUACCCAGUGUUUCUCGGUUCGGCCAUGGGUUGGUGAUAGGUUCAAGCUGUCAAAGCAUUACAAAGGGGCAGCAGGAAUGUGGCUACAACAAAAUGCUGGUGGGUAAACUCUCUUGAAGUUUGAUCGUUUUGGAUGACCCUAGUGCUGCCUACUCCCUAGAUACAUCCGUUUGUUUGAGUGUCAAUUAAUAUGGGACGGAGGUAGUACUGUAUAUACCAUCUCCCAGAUUGAUUUUUGGUCUGUCAGAGCUGGAGACACUGGGUAUAGGAAGUACAUUUGUGAUCACAUUGCUGUCAAAGCUAAAAAAUACCUUCACGCCUGUCUCGUGCCUACUGAUGAUUUGCUUCCCAGCAGUUAUGUCAGAUGAAUUGAUCAGCCCUUGAAGGAAUUUUGCUUGACAACUUACAAGAGCUAUGUACAGAAAAGGUAUAUUCAUGAUUUGGAUGAGCAUGGUGUGAAAGUGCCCAGAGGAUUGGGAGAAUGAAGGCCCUGCACACACUUGGUGUUGUGAACACUGCACGGGGGAAGGCCAUUUUGAAGGGGAUCUGGGUGAGCUUACUCAGUUGCGUAAGCUUGGAACGGAGUGACUGGCAUCAACAAGAGAAACUGCAAGGAGCUCUGUUCUGAUAUCAUCGAUCAUGUCCGCUUGCUGUCCUUGUCGAUGUGCUCAGGGUGAACCUGGGUUAGAACUUGGACGUCUAGAUAAAUUGUCCCCACCUCAAGAUGGCCUUCAUAUUCAUAGCCUUAAGUUGUAUGGCUAUCUGGUCAAAUUGCCUACAUGGAUUGAAUAGCUACAGAUGCUAGCCAAGUUAACUCAACGGAGUACCCAAGUGAAGCAUGCUGACAUAGUACACGUAGCACUGGGGAAGCUGACCAAACUUGCCAUUCUACGUCUUCAUAACGAUCCGUUUGAAAAGGGAGAAGUCCACUUGCAAGGCUAACAUUUCUUGAGCCCGCGAACCUAUCUGGCCUCAAAUCGGCCAAGUUUGAAGAAGUGCUUCCUAAGCUUGAGCUGCUACAGGUACACAUUGUUUUGUAAGCAACACCGAGGGGUUCUCCGGGAUACAAUUUUUGCCAUGGAAGUUUCGAUCAAUGGCGAUAACGGUGGCUUCAGUGAAAAUUCAAGGAAGCCUUGCAGGACCAAGUGACCGAGAACCAUAACAAACCAAAUCUCAAGACGGAGCAUUUUGUUUUAAGCACCAGUCCAGACUGCUGCUUGGUCCUCUCUCCUCUCAUACGGUUCUUCUCACGAGGUUUUUUAACAUGCUCCCUCUUACCUCCCCUUUUCACAUGAAAGGUAAAGCCGUUGUUGCAUUUAAUAGUGGGUUUGAUUAACUCUUACCCCCCUCUAUUCCUAAAUAUAAGAUCUUCUAGAGAUUCCAAUAUGAACUGCAUACGAAGUGAAAUGAGUGAAUCUACACUCUAAAAUAUUUUUAUAGUCCGAAUUGAAAUUCCUAAAAGGUCUUAUAUUUAGAAACAGAGGGAGUACCUUCUUAUCUCCUAUGUGAAAAGAGGAGGUAAGAGGGAGCAUGUUAAAAUUGCUCUCUUCUCACGAAUAUUUCUCAUUCUGCAUUCCUUUCAAUAUAUUUCAGCAUAUGAUGGAUCAUUUGGUAAAACAAGGAGAGAUAAUUCUGCACCAUUUCUUAUUCCCAUCUGAU